CCUACGGGUGGCAGCAGUGAGGAAUAUUGGUCAAUGGACGCAAGUCUGAACCAGCCAUGCCGCGUGCAGGAAGACGGCUCUAUGAGUUGUAAACUGCUUUUGUACGAGGAUAAACCCAGAUACGCGUAUCUGUCUGCAAGUAUCGUACGAAUAAGGAUCGGCUAACUCCGUGCCAGCAGCCGCGGUAAUACGGAGGAUUCAAGCGUUAUCCGGAUUUAUUGGGUUUAAAGGGUGCGUAGGCGGGCGGAUAAGUUAGUGGUGAAAUGCCGAGGCUCAACCUUGUAAUUGCCUUUGAUACUGGUAGGCUAGAGAGUAGUUGAGGUAGGCGGAAUGUGUGGUGUAGCGGUGAAAUGCUUAGAGAUCAUGAAGAACACCGAUUGCGAAGGCAGCUUACCAAGCUACUACUGACGUUGAGGCACGAAAGCGUGGGGAGCAAACAGGAUUAGAUACCCUUGUAGUC
RNAcentral lists this ribosomal RNA (460 nucleotides) under uncultured bacterium. RNAcentral describes it as "partial 16S ribosomal RNA". It matches the Rfam family "Bacterial small subunit ribosomal RNA", at positions 338 to 795 of the family's 1533-position model. The record is from RNAcentral.